RNAcentral lists this long non-coding RNA (322 nucleotides) under Salvia miltiorrhiza (redroot sage). RNAcentral's name for it is "long non-coding RNA (SMIL_LNC013447)". Lineage: Eukaryota; Viridiplantae; Streptophyta; Magnoliopsida; Lamiales; Lamiaceae. The record is from RNAcentral.
GCGCAGCCAUCAUCACCCUUGAGGAGCAGCGCAGCCAUCAUCACCCUUGAGGAGCAGCGCAGCCAUCAUCACCCUUGAGGAGCAGCGCAGCCAUCACCACCUCUGAAAGAACAGCGCAGCACCAGCGCUCCUUAGAAAAGGGUUCCCAACUACUUUCUGAAAGAGGCAAAAGCUGCAAGGCCGUUGGAACAAGGACAGUCACCAGUGACAACGACGCCGAGGACGUACCGAGCACGUGCCCCGAAGGAAAAGACGAUCUUACCCUCUCAUCUUCAUCUCUUAUAAAUAGCAUGUCUGUAAUAGUAGAAGGGACCGAUCUUUU